Molecule: ribosomal RNA, 321 nt
Filed under: uncultured Lactobacillus sp.
Lineage: Bacteria; Bacillati; Bacillota; Bacilli; Lactobacillales; Lactobacillaceae
Description: bacterial SSU rRNA
Rfam family: Bacterial small subunit ribosomal RNA
Source: RNAcentral
UGGGCCCCGCGGUGGCAUUAGCUAGUUGGCAAGGUAAAGGGCUUACCAAGGCGAUGAUGCAUAGCCCGAGUUGAGAGACUGAUCGGGCCACAUUGGGGACUGAGACACGGGCCCAAACUCCUACGGGAGGCAGCAGUAGGGAAUCUUCCACAAUGGACGCAAGUCUGAUGGAGCAAACGCCGCGUGAGUGAAGAAGGUUUUCGGAUCGUAAAAAGCUCUGUUGUUGGUGAAGAAGGAUAGAGGUAGUAACUGGCCCUUUAUUUGACGGUAAUCAACCCAGAAAGUCACGGGCUAACUACGUGCCCAGCAGCCGCGGUAAAU